CCUACGGGGUGCAGCAGUGGGGGAUAUUGCACAAUGGGGGCAACCCUGAUGCAGUGACGCCGCGUGGGUGAAGAAGCGCCUCGGCGCGUAAAGCCCUGUCAGCAGGGAAGAAAAUGACGGUACCUGAAGAAGAAGCCCAGGCUAACUACGUGCCAGCAGCCGCGGUAAUACGUAGGGGGCCAGCGUUAUCCGGAUUUACUGGGUGUCAAGGGGGCGCAGACGGCGAUGCAAGCCAGGAGUGAAAGCCCGGGGCCCAACCCCGGGACUGCUCUUGGAACUGCGUGGCUAGAGUGCAGGAGGGGCAGGCGGAAUUCCUGGUGUAGCGGUGAAAUGCGUAGAUAUCAGGAGGAACACCGGUGGCGAAGGCGGCCUGCUGGACUGCAACUGACGUUGAGGCCCGAAAGCGUGGGGAGCAAACAGGAUUAGAUACCCUUGUAGUC
This 440-nucleotide ribosomal RNA is filed under the name uncultured bacterium. Its description in RNAcentral is "partial 16S ribosomal RNA". It matches the Rfam family "Bacterial small subunit ribosomal RNA", at positions 338 to 795 of the family's 1533-position model. The record is from RNAcentral.